AUGGAUUAUAUCUUCAACCUUGCAAAUUCAAUUUCUUUGCGUUUUCUUAUUCUGUUAAUAGCAAUUACUUUGCUUAUGCCGUUGUCUCCAGUUAGUGCAGAUAUUAAAAUGAGAAAAUUAGGAAAUUUUCCAAGUCCACCUCCUUCACCAAGAAUAAACCAAGGACGAGUACCAGCAUCAAAAUCAAGAGAUAAUCAUUAUAAGGGUGGAGACCGUGGAGGCCAUGGCACAUAA
Molecule: non-coding RNA, 234 nt
Organism: Vicia faba (fava bean)
Lineage: Eukaryota; Viridiplantae; Streptophyta; Magnoliopsida; Fabales; Fabaceae
Source: the annotation of a GenBank genome assembly